Molecule: ribosomal RNA, 464 nt
Filed under: uncultured Klebsiella sp.
Lineage: Bacteria; Pseudomonadati; Pseudomonadota; Gammaproteobacteria; Enterobacterales; Enterobacteriaceae
Description: bacterial SSU rRNA
Rfam family: Bacterial small subunit ribosomal RNA
Source: RNAcentral
CCUACGGGUGGCUGCAGUGGGGAAUAUUGCACAAUGGGCGCAAGCCUGAUGCAGCCAUGCCGCGUGUGUGAAGAAGGCCUUCGGGUUGUAAAGCACUUUCAGCGGGGAGGAAGGCGUUAAGGUUAAUAACCUUGGCGAUUGACGUUACCCGCAGAAGAAGCACCGGCUAACUCCGUGCCAGCAGCCGCGGUAAUACGGAGGGUGCAAGCGUUAAUCGGAAUUACUGGGCGUAAAGCGCACGCAGGCGGUCUGUCAAGUCGGAUGUGAAAUCCCCGGGCUCAACCUGGGAACUGCAUUCGAAACUGGCAGGCUAGAGUCUUGUAGAGGGGGGUAGAAUUCCAGGUGUAGCGGUGAAAUGCGUAGAGAUCUGGAGGAAUACCGGUGGCGAAGGCGGCCCCUGGACAAAGACUGACGCUCAGGUGCGAAAGCGUGGGGAGCAAACAGGAUUAGAUACCCGUGUAGUC